RNAcentral lists this ribosomal RNA (402 nucleotides) under Verrucomicrobiota bacterium. RNAcentral's name for it is "Verrucomicrobia bacterium partial 16S ribosomal RNA". It matches the Rfam family "Bacterial small subunit ribosomal RNA", at positions 355 to 776 of the family's 1533-position model. The record is from RNAcentral. Lineage: Bacteria; Pseudomonadati; Verrucomicrobiota.
UGGGGAAUAUUGCACAAUGGGGGAAACCCUGAUGCAGCGACGCCGCGUGAGCGAAGAAGGCUUUCGAGUCGUAAAGCUCUGUCCUAUGAGAAGAUAAUGACGGUAUCAUAGGAGGAAGCCCUGGCUAAAUACGUGCCAGCAGCCGCGGUAAUACGUAUGGGGCGAGCGUUGUCCGGAAUUAUUGGGCGUAAAGGGUACGUAGGCGGUUUUUAAGUCAGGUGUCAAAGCGUGGAGCUUAACUCCAUUAAGCACUUGAAACUGAAAGACUUGAGUGAAGGAGAGGAAAGUGGAAUUCCUAGUGUAGCGGUGAAAUGCGUAGAUAUUAGGAGGAAUACCGGUGGCGAAGGCGACUUUCUGGACUUUUACUGACGCUCAGGUACGAAAGCGUGGGGAGCAAACAGG